UACGGAGGGGGCUAGCGUUGUUCGGAAUUACUGGGCGUAAAGCGCACGUAGGCGGCUUUGUAAGUUAGAGGUGAAAGCCCGGGGCUCAACCCCGGAAUUGCCUUUAAGACUGCAGAGCUAGCAGGUGAGAGAGGUAAGUGGAAUUCCGAGUGUAGAGGUGAAAUUCGUAGAUAUUCGGAAGAACACCAGUGGCGAAGGCGGCUUACUGGCUCAUACUGGACGCUGAGGUGCGAAAGCGUGGGGAGCAAACAGG
RNAcentral lists this ribosomal RNA (253 nucleotides) under uncultured Sphingomonas sp. Its description in RNAcentral is "partial 16S ribosomal RNA". It matches the Rfam family "Bacterial small subunit ribosomal RNA", at positions 524 to 776 of the family's 1533-position model. Lineage: Bacteria; Pseudomonadati; Pseudomonadota; Alphaproteobacteria; Sphingomonadales; Sphingomonadaceae. The record is from RNAcentral.